GUGGGGAAUUUUGGACAAUGGGCGCAAGCCUGAUCCAGCAAUGCCGCGUGGGUGAAGAAGGUCUUCGGAUCGUAAAGCCCUUUCGACAGGGACGAUGAUGACGGUACCUGUAGAAGAAGCCCCGGCUAACUUCGUGCCAGCAGCCGCGGUAAUACGAAGGGGGCUAGCGUUACUCGGAAUUACUGGGCGUAAAGGGCGCGUAGGCGGCUCUGUUAGUCAGGCGUGAAAUUCCUGGGCUUAACCUGGGGACUGCGCUUGAUACUGCAGGGCUUGAGGCCGAGAGAGGGUGGUGGAAUUCCCAGUGUAGAGGUGAAAUUCGUAGAUAUUGGGAAGAACACCGGUGGCGAAGGCGACCACCUGGCUCGGUUCUGACGCUGAGGCGCGACAGCGUGGGGAGCAAACAGGAUUAGAUACCCGUGUAGUCC
RNAcentral lists this ribosomal RNA (425 nucleotides) under uncultured bacterium. Its description in RNAcentral is "partial 16S ribosomal RNA". It matches the Rfam family "Bacterial small subunit ribosomal RNA", at positions 354 to 796 of the family's 1533-position model. The record is from RNAcentral.